CGUGAGCCCUCACUCAGUAAUGAUCUCCGUAGGGGUGAACCUGCGGAGGGAUCAUUACUGAGUGAGGGCUCACGCCCGACCUCCAACCCUCUGUGAAACCACACUUGUUGCUUCGGGGGCGACCCUGCCGGCGAACUCGUCGCCGGGCGCCCCCGGAGGUCUUCUAAACACUGCAUCUUUGCGUCGGAGUUCAAAACAAAUCGAACAAAACUUUCAACAACGGAUCUCUUGGUUCUGGCAUCGAUGAAGAACGCAGCGAAAUGCGAUAAGUAAUGUGAAUUGCAGAAUUCAGUGAAUCAUCGAAUCUUUGAACGCACAUUGCGCCCUUUGGUAUUCCGAAGGGCAUGCCUGUUCGAGCGUCAUUUCACCACUCAAGCCUGGCUUGGUAUUGGGCGUCGCGGUGUUUCGCGCGCCUUAAAGUCUUCCGGCUGAGCUGUCCGUCUCCUAGCGUUGUGGAUUCUUCAAUUCGCUUCGGAGUGCGGGCGGCCGCGGCCGUUAAAUCUUUAUUGAAAGGUUGACCUCGGAUCAGGUAGGGAUACCCGCUGAACUUAAGCAUAUCAAUAAGCGGAGAA
Molecule: ribosomal RNA, 572 nt
Filed under: Pseudocercospora eumusae
Lineage: Eukaryota; Fungi; Ascomycota; Dothideomycetes; Mycosphaerellales; Mycosphaerellaceae
Description: eukaryotic LSU rRNA
Rfam family: 5.8S ribosomal RNA (bases 209-362)
Source: RNAcentral